UGCUCUGUGAUUACGUGCCUGGAAUUGGCAAUAUACGCUAUUCCGAUUCAGAACAUGAAUGGAUAACUCUUAAGAGAAAUUAUGAGAGCA
This is a small nucleolar RNA of Malus domestica (apple), 90 nucleotides long. RefSeq annotates it as small nucleolar RNA U54. NCBI's taxonomy places the organism in Eukaryota, Viridiplantae, Streptophyta, Magnoliopsida, Rosales, Rosaceae. The record is from RefSeq and is a predicted model, not a curated record.